RNAcentral lists this ribosomal RNA (256 nucleotides) under uncultured bacterium. RNAcentral's name for it is "partial small subunit ribosomal RNA". It matches the Rfam family "Bacterial small subunit ribosomal RNA", at positions 26 to 285 of the family's 1533-position model. The record is from RNAcentral.
AGGACGAACGCUGGCGGCGUGCUUAACACAUGCAAGUCGAGCGGUGAUCCUCCUUCGGGAGGUGAUCAGCGGCGAACGGGUGAGUAACACGUGGGCAACCUGCCCCUCACACUGGGAUAACCUCGGGAAACCGGGCUAAUACCGGAUACGACCUCGAGCGGCACCUCUUGAGGUGGAAAGCUCCGACGGUGAGGGAUGGGCCCGCGGCCUAUCAGCUUGUUGGUGGGGUAAUGGCCUACCAAGGCGACGACGGGUA